CCCUUAGAUGUUCUGGGUCGCACGCGUGCUACACUGAGUAGAUCAGCGGGUCAGGUUGCGCGAAAGUGUUUCCUAAUCUUGAAAUCCGCUCGUGAUGGGGAUUGACGGUUGCAAUUUUCCGUCAUGAACGAGGAAUACCUUGUAAGCGCGGGUCAUCAUCCCGCGCUGAAUACGUCCCUGCCCUUUGUACACACCGCCCGUCGCUCCUACCGAUUGAGUGGUCCGGUGAGGCUUUGGGAUCUGAGCGGAAAGAGCGUUUCGCUGUUUCUGCUCGGAAAACUCAGUCGAACCUUAUCAUUUAGAGGAAGGAGAAGUCGUAACA
This 322-nucleotide ribosomal RNA is filed under the name uncultured eukaryote. RNAcentral's name for it is "partial 18S ribosomal RNA". It matches the Rfam family "Eukaryotic small subunit ribosomal RNA", at positions 1470 to 1796 of the family's 1831-position model. The record is from RNAcentral.